UACGUAGGGGGCAAGCGUUGUCCGGAUUUAUUGGGCGUAAAGCGCGUGUAGGUGGCCGAUUAGGUCCGCUGUGAAAACUCGAGGCUCAACCUCGAGAUGUCGGUGGAAACCAGUCGGCUAGAGUCCGGAAGAGGAGAGUGGAAUUCCUGGUGUAGCGGUGAAAUGCGCAGAUAUCAGGAAGAACACCAAUGGCGAAGGCAGCUCUCUGGGACGGUACUGACACUGAGACGCGAAAGCGUGGGGAGCGAACAGG
This 253-nucleotide ribosomal RNA is filed under the name uncultured bacterium. RNAcentral describes it as "partial 16S ribosomal RNA". It matches the Rfam family "Bacterial small subunit ribosomal RNA", at positions 524 to 776 of the family's 1533-position model. The record is from RNAcentral.